Molecule: ribosomal RNA, 497 nt
Filed under: uncultured bacterium
Lineage: Bacteria
Description: partial 16S ribosomal RNA
Rfam family: Bacterial small subunit ribosomal RNA
Source: RNAcentral
GAUGAACGCUGGCGGCGUGCCUAAUACAUGCAAGUCGAGCGAACAGACGAGGAGCUUGCUCCUCUGACGUUAGCGGCGGACGGGUGAGUAACACGUGGAUAACCUACCUAUAAGACUGGGAUAACUUCGGGAAACCGGAGCUAAUACCGGAUAAUAUAUUGAACCGCAUGGUUCAAUAGUGAAAGACGGUUUUGCUGUCACUUAUAGCUGGAUCCGCGCCGCAUUAGCUAGUUGGUAAGGUAAAGGCUUACCAAGGCAACGAUGCGUAGCCGACCUGAGUGGGUGAUCGCCCACACUGGAACUGAGACACGGUCCAGACUCCUACGGGAGGCAGCAGUAGGGAAUCUUCCGCAAAGGGCGAAAGCCUGACGGAGCAACGCCGCGUGAGUGAUGAAGGUCUUCGGAUCGUAAAACUCUGUUAUUAGGGAAGAACAAAUGUGUAAGUAACUAUGCACGUCUUGACGGUACCUAAUCAGAAAGCCACGGCUAACUACGUG